CCAUCCAUCCCCUCACUCGCCGCCGCCGCUCAUUCCAAAUCCUCCUCGAUUUCCUCAGCCACCCAACCAGCCUCCACCUUCCCGAUCCACUCUACCCGAGCCAACCCGCAACACCACCUACCUCGCUCGAUCCCGAAUGGAUCAAGGCGCUGCUUUCGCUCCCACACCUCCUCUGGAUUCAUCCCGAGACCAACCAGGCCCCGAGCGACCUCGCUCCCCUGCCGUUGCCGGCAACCGCGUCACCAGGAUCCAGCAAGGAAGAAAGAUCCUCGCGCCAAGCAACCCUCCUGGCCGCCUCCCUCCUCCCGUGCUUCAAACCAGGGCGGAUUGGAACCAGUGCUUGAGCCCUCCUGUACCUCUCCUCGUGCUCGGUCGCCUCAACGUCGUCGUCCCCUUCGUCUUCCCCUUCCGUUCCUUCCUUCCUCCUUCCAUGCCGAACUCCCUCCAACUCCCUCUGUUUUUCUUUCACAGGGAGAACAAGACAAGCCGGCCUCCAUGGAUUUCGCACCGGAGCUCCAUUCACACCGGAUCCCCCUCUUCGACCUUCGCUGACUUCGUUCCGUGCCUCCCUGUGAUCGUCGGGGCCGCCAAGUCCCACACCGCCGCUGGUCUUCUACCUGUCGAGGAGAGGAGGACGAAGCCCCUGCCUCGAGCCACUCCACUGCCACCAUUCCUCUGCUUCGUCUGCUUCCAGCGGGACCACGAGGUGUGCCCGCAGCCCCAAGCUCACCGUCCUCCCGCCGGAGAGCUCCACUAGGAGCGCCGCCAGGCCUCUGCUCCCGUUCCCGUCACUCCGCCGAGCGCCAAGUCCCAUUCCGCCGUCGUCCGAAACCUCGCUGCCGUUUUCCUUCAGAUAUGAGCAGAUCAGCGCCACAUCCUGCUUCGUCUGAAUUGAAGACAGGCGCGCUGCCCUCGUGCGUUGACCGCGCAAGCGCUCCCCUGCCUCGUCUUCGCCAUGGGCCUCCAGCGCCAAGGCCCAUCCGCCGCUCUACUGCUUCCCUGGCCCAGCGCGCCCCUCUUCUCUCCGUUGUGGGCCUCAGCCCAAUGGGUGAGCUGCUCCCAAAUGCCUCUCUAUUAGCCCAAGAACAGAUUCGACCCGAUGUAUUUUUUUCUGCUAUGAACAAAUUUUGCUAUUUACAAAAAACUGCAUAUUUACAGAUUACCCCUUGCUCUUCAUGCAUUUAAUAACUCUCAAACCAUGCAUCCAUAUUAAACAAACUUUAUAUGAAACUUGCUUAGAAUUUUGUCUAGUUUAAUAAUAUGCAACUUUCAUGCAUGUUUGAAAUGUUUAAUAUGCUGUUUGGUUAAAUUUGCUCCUAUGCCAUGUUAAAAUGCUUUAAUUCAUAACUAAAUAACCGUAGCUCGAUUUCUAAUAAACUUUAUAUGUAAAUGGGUUAGAAUUUUGCCUAGUUUAACAUGGUGGCCUUACUUUGCAUGUUUAACAACUCUAAAACAUGGUUUAGGGCAGAACAGUACCAAACCUUAAAAUAUGCACAUGAGGAGUUUCGGAAUUGUUGUUUGUUAUUUCCGGCCUCAUUUAAACUUGACUAGUUAGGUAGUUUUAUUAUGCUUCACCCUCUUGCCAUGUUAAUCAACAUUUAAUCUUGUUGGGUACAUAAACGAGAGUGAACUAAAUAAGUCUUGUGGUGUUUUCUUCAAUAUGCAACUCCGUUGCAUAAUGAGCUCCACUUAAUUUGUAGGAUUGUUUGUGCACUUUCCAUGCCAUGCCUCAUUAAACUGGACAUGCAUCAUACUUGAUUGUGCAUCAUGCCAUGUUUAUGUGGUGGUUGUUUACUAUGUUGUGUGCUUCUUUCCGGUGUUGCUUCUUCGGGUUGGUUCCAGUAACAUCGUGUUUGUGAGGAUCCGUUCGACUACGUCCGUUUGUCUUCUUCAUGGACUCGUUCUUCUUCCUUGCGGUAUUUCAUGCAAGAUGACCAUACCCUCGAAAUCACUUCUAUCUUUGCUUGCUAGUUGCUCACUCUUUUGCUAUGCCUAUGCUGCGAUACCUACCACUUUCUUAUCAUGCCUCCCCUAUUGUUGAACCAAGCCUCUAACCCACCUUGUCCUAGCAAACCGUUGUUUGGCUAUGUUACCGCUUUGCUCAGCCCCUCUUAUAGCAUUGUUAGUUGCAGGUGAAGAUUGAAGUUUUGUUUUCUUGUUGGAACAUGGAGAUAUUGUUGCUUGUUGGAACAUGUUUACUUGUUGGGAUAUCACAAUACCUCUUAUUUUAAUUAACGCAUCUAUAUACUUGGUAAUGGGUGGAAGGCUUGGCCUUAUGCCUGGUGUUUUGUUCCACUCUUGCCGCCCUAGUUUCCGUCAUAUCGGUGUUAUGUUCCUGGAUUUUGUGUUCCUUACGCGGUUGGGUUAUAAUGGGAACCCCUUGACAGUUCGCCUUGAAUAAAACUCCUCCAGCAAUGCCCAACAUUCGUUUUACCAUUCUCCACCUAGCCUUUUCUUUCCCUUGGGUUCUGCAGACUCAAGGGUCAUCAUUAUUUUAACCCCCCCGGGCCAGUGCUCCUCUGAGUGUUGGUCCGACCGAGUAGACUGCAGGGCCACCUUGGGGCAACUUGAGGGUUGGUUUUACUCAUAGGAUGUCUCAUCUGAGUGUGCCUUGAGAACGAGAUAUGUGCAGCUCCUAUCGUGAUUUGUCGGCACAUUCGGACGGUGUUGCUGGACUUGUUUUACCAUUGUCGAGGAUGUCUUGUAACCUGGAUGCCGAGCCUUAUCGGAUUGUCUUGGGAGGAGGAAUAACCUUCGUUGACCGUGAGAGCUUGUGAUGGGCUAAGUUGGGACACCCCUGCAGGGUUUUGAACUUUCGAAAGCCGUGCCCGCGGUUAUGGGCAGAUGGGAAUUUGUUAAUGUCCGGUUGUAGAAAACCUGAAGUUGACCUUAAUUAAAAUGCACCAAGUGCGUGUGUAACCGUGAUGGUCUCUUCUUGGCGGAGUCCAGGAAGUGAACACGGUGUUGGAGUAAUGCUUGACGUAGGUUGUUCUAGGAUCACUUCUUGAUCAUAGUUGUUCGACCGUGAUUUUGCCUUCUCUUCUCGCUCUCUUUUGCGAAUAAGUUAGCCACCAUAUAUGCUAGUCGCUUGCUGCAGCUCCAGAUCAUACCUUUGCCUUACCUAUAAGCUUAAAUAGUCUUGAUCGCGAGGGUGUGAGAUUGCUGAGUCCCCGUGACUCACAGAUACUUCCAAAACCAGCUUGCAGGUGCCGUUGAACCGUGCAGAUGACGCAACCAAGCUCAAGGAGGAGCUCGAUGAAGAUCUUGUCCUUUAUGUUGUUCCGUUUUCUAGUUGAUCAGUAGUGGAGCCCAGUUGGGGUCGAUCGGGGAUCUGUGUAGCUUUCGGUGUAGUCUUCUUUUAUUUUGGUUCCGUAGUCGGACAUUGAUUGUAUCUGGUGGUUGUAAUGCUUUAUUCAUGUAUUUGUGUGAAGUGGCGAUUGUAAGCCAACUAUGUAUCUCUUCCCUUAUGUAUUACAUGGGUUGUGUGAAGAUUACCUCACUUGCGACAUUGCUUUCAAUGCGGUUAUGCCUCUAAGUCAUGCUUCGACACGUGGGAGAUAUAGCCGCAUCGAGGGCGUUACACCUGGGGACAUGCAUGUGGAGUUCAAAAAGUCAAGCCUCCCUAAUAGAGUAAAGAAACCUAAGAUCGAGUUUAUCCCUUUUCGCCUCUUGCAUGAAAACAAACAGGAACUAUGCAAAAAACGAUACUGAGACUGGAGCAGGAGAUCGAGGACCUAAGGGGCCAAAAUUCUGUCCUCAAGCGCAAAUUAAGGAGGAAGCCUACGCCAUGAACAAAACCACCAUCUUCU
Molecule: ribosomal RNA, 3809 nt
Filed under: Triticum aestivum (bread wheat)
Lineage: Eukaryota; Viridiplantae; Streptophyta; Magnoliopsida; Poales; Poaceae
Description: partial small subunit ribosomal RNA
Source: RNAcentral